Long non-coding RNA from Topomyia yanbarensis, 1246 nucleotides. RefSeq lists it as uncharacterized. NCBI's taxonomy places the organism in Eukaryota, Metazoa, Arthropoda, Insecta, Diptera, Culicidae. The record is from RefSeq and is a predicted model, not a curated record. The transcript is spliced from 3 exons.
CCAACCCUAUUAAAGCUCCCAUAAACUCACGCAUACACUGAACUACCAACCCGCAACGAAGAGAAACGUCAAACUGAAAAAUAUCAUAAGUGAUGUGUUGUGCUGUGCUGUGACGGAAUUGUACAUUAUCCAGGCUGAAACGGACCAACAAAAACAACAAAAACAAACCUCAUUCGGAUGAGAGGUUGGGAUAAGUUCGGCACGGUACUGGACGGUAUCGGACGACGAAUUGUGGACAUUUGAAGCGGACUAUGGAAUUGAGAGAUGUCGCCUGUCGACUAAUAGCUGCGGAUGUGACGGCAAAUCGGACUACGUUUACAACCCCUGUCGUAUCUUUUCCAUGAUUAGAAAAAUCGAUCCUGUCCUACCUAACCUUGCAAUGGACGAUUCAAAAUAAUUCAUAGUCACAGAUAUUCCCUGAUUAAACACCAUAUCAGUGCUAACACUAGCCUGAGCUUAGAAUUGAUAAAUUUAUAAUGUUCAUUGUUCUUCCAUUGUGUUCGCGAUUCUGGUAAAACCGUAUAUCAAAGUUUGUAGAAUUACUUGGACCAAUAAUACUUUCAUUAGACACCAUUAUGAACCUCAUACUUGACCUCAUAUUAAUCCGGGUUUGAAUAUGAGUUAAUUCAUGAGGCUGUUUAACAUAUAGGGUUCCGGAAUUCGCGGAGCGCACCAUGUUUUAAAAUGCAAGCGAAUUCAUCUUAGAGCUUCAGGUGGUCUCCUGUAUAUAGAUGACGCAACUGUCGUAGGGAUUAAAAUAGGUUUGUUCCUGUACUACGGCACGCAAAAUACGCAACGUGUUCUUAAUGGCGUGUUUGCUAAGAAUCGGUAGACAGACUCGGUUGAUUAUUGGAAUUAUUACUUUACAUGUAAUGUGGUAUGGAAUUCACGUAUUAUUGUGAAUGUGAAUUGUAUGGAAUUCACGUGAUCAUAUGUUAUCUAUACCCAACAAACAACGAAAGCUGAACAAGCCAUUACGAGGGAAUAAACUGAACAAUCCAGUUUAGGGAAUUAGCCAUAAUCCAGCUAAAUUGUUGGGUAUGCUUGGUGAAUACCGAAAUGGUUCUAGGCGUUUUCUGAAUGACCCUUGAACUAAAUCGAGUAAUUUUUAGUUGUGAGAAGCGAGUUAAGCUACCAUUGAUUACUAUAACACUUUUCAAUUUCCCCUAGUUUGAUAUUAAUUAAAAUAAUUCAAUAAUAAAAUUGUCCAAUAUAGUAGGAAAGAAUUAUAUCGAAUAUGCAGUCA